UCACAGGCUAGAUUCUCUGGUA
This 22-nucleotide microRNA is filed under the name Dinoponera quadriceps. Its description in RNAcentral is "dqu-miR-125-3p". Its record names the gene dqu-miR-125-3p. Lineage: Eukaryota; Metazoa; Arthropoda; Insecta; Hymenoptera; Formicidae. The record is from miRBase by way of RNAcentral.